This 253-nucleotide ribosomal RNA is filed under the name uncultured bacterium. RNAcentral describes it as "partial 16S ribosomal RNA". It matches the Rfam family "Bacterial small subunit ribosomal RNA", at positions 524 to 776 of the family's 1533-position model. The record is from RNAcentral.
UACAGAGGUCCCAAGCGUUGUUCGGAUUCAUUGGGCGUAAAGGGUGCGUAGGCGGCAGGGUAAGUUGGAUGUGAAAUCCUGGGGCUUAACCUCAGAAUUGCAUUCAAUACUGCCUUGCUAGAGAGCUGUAGAGGAGACUGGAAUUUACGGUGUAGCAGUGAAAUGCGUAGAUAUCGUAAGGAACGCCAGUGGCGAAAGCGAGUCUCUGGGCAGCAUCUGACGCUGAGGCACGAAGGCCAGGGGAGCAAACAGG